UGAAUACGAGACGCUAAGGCGUCGAAGUAGUGUAUGUCAUACUUCCAAGAAAAGCUUGCACUGUCAUAAGUAAAAAAUGCCUGUACCAUAACCGACACAGGUGGGUAGGUAGAGUAUACUAAGGGGCGCGAGAUAACUCUCUCUAAGGAACACGGCAAAAUAACUCCGUAACUUCGGGAGAAGGAGUACCUAUUCUAUAAGGUUGCAAUAACAAGAUCCAAGCAACUUUUUAUCAAAAACACAGGUCUCCGCUAAGUCGUAAGACGAUGUAUGGGGGCUGACGCCUGCCCAGUGCCAGAAGGUUAAAGAAGUCGGUUAGCAUUAGCGAAGCUGGUAACUGAAGCCCUGGUGAACGGCGGCCGUAACAAUAACGGUCCUAAGGUAGCGAAAUUCCUUGUCGGGUAAGUUCCGACCCGCACGAAAGGCGUAAUGAUUUGGAUACUGUCUCGGAGAGGGGCUCGGUGAAAUAGACUUGUCUGUGAAGAUGCGGACUACCUGCACCAGGACAGAAAGACCCUAUGAAGCUUUACUGUAACUUGAAAUUGAAAUUGGACUUUAUUCGCGCAGUAUAGGUGGGAGGUGUUGAUUAUAAUCUUGCGGGAUUAUUGGAGCCAUCAGUGAGAUACCACUCUUGUAAUGUUAGAUUUCUAACUUUGAAUCAUUAUCUGGUCAAAGGACAGUUUCAGGCGGGCAGUUUGACUGGGGCGGUCGCCUCCCAAACGGUAACGGAGGCGUACAAAGGUUUCCUCUGAACGGGUAGAAAUCGUAUCUAGAGUGUAAAGGCAUAAGGAAGCUUGACUGUGAGACCUACAAGUCGAACAGGGACGAAAGUCGGUCUUAGUGAUCUGACGGUACUGAGUGGAAAGGCCGUCACUCAACGGAUAAAAGUUACUCUAGGAUAACAGGCUGAUCUCCCCCAAGAGUUCACAUCGACGGGGAGGUUUGGCACCUCGAUGUCGGCUCAUCGCAUCCUGGGGCGGUAGUACGUCCCAAGGGUUGGGCUGUUCGCCCAAAAGCGGUACGCGAGCUGGGUUCAGAACGUCGUGAGACAGUUCGGUCCGUAUCCGGUGUAGGCGUUAGAAUAUUGAGAGGAGCCUUCUUUAGUACGAGAGGACCGAGAAGGACAUACCUCUGGUGUACCAGUUAUCGUGCCAACGGUAAACGCUGGGUAGCUAUGUAUGGAGUGGAUAACCGCUGAAAGCAUCUAAGUGGGAAGCCCACCUCAAGAUAAG
Molecule: ribosomal RNA, 1232 nt
Filed under: metagenome
Description: bacterial LSU rRNA
Rfam family: Bacterial large subunit ribosomal RNA
Source: RNAcentral